UGACGUCAGCUGAGACAGAUGCGCGU
This 26-nucleotide non-coding RNA is filed under the name Rattus norvegicus (Norway rat). The record is from RNAcentral. Lineage: Eukaryota; Metazoa; Chordata; Mammalia; Rodentia; Muridae.